GAUUAACGCUGGCGGCAUGCCUAAUACAUGCAAGUCGAACGGAAGCAGCAAUGCUUUAGUGGCGAACGGGUGAGUAACACGUAGGGAACCUACCUAUACGACGAGGAUAACUACUGGAAACGGUAGCUAAAACUGGAUAGGAUCAAUUGAGGCAUCUUGAUUGAUUUAAAGAUCCUUCGGGAUUACGUAGAGAUGGCCCUGCGGCGCAUUAGCUAGUUGGUGAGGUAACGGCCCACCAAGGCGACGAUGCGUAGCUGAGCUGAGAGGCUAAACAGCCACACUGGGACUGAGACACGGCCCAGACUCCUACGGGAGGCAGCAGUAGGGAAUUUUCGGCAAUGGGGGAAACCCUGACCGAGCAAUGCCGCGUGAACGAUGAAGGUCUUCGGAUUGUAAAGUUCUGUGAUUGGGAAGAAUGGUAUUCUUAGGGAAUGAGGAGUACAUGACGGUACCCGAUUAGAAAGCCCCGGCUAACUAUGUGCCAGCAG
RNAcentral lists this ribosomal RNA (488 nucleotides) under uncultured bacterium. RNAcentral describes it as "bacterial SSU rRNA". It matches the Rfam family "Bacterial small subunit ribosomal RNA", at positions 28 to 514 of the family's 1533-position model. The record is from RNAcentral.